This 77-nucleotide transfer RNA is filed under the name Desulfosporomusa polytropa. RNAcentral's name for it is "tRNA-Pro". It matches the Rfam family "tRNA". From Rfam's summary of the family: Transfer RNA (tRNA) molecules are approximately 80 nucleotides in length. Their secondary structure includes four short double-helical elements and three loops (D, anti-codon, and T loops). Lineage: Bacteria; Bacillati; Bacillota; Negativicutes; Selenomonadales; Sporomusaceae. The record is from RNAcentral. RNAcentral also lists the same sequence under 4 other names.
CGGGGCGUAGCGCAGUUUGGUAGCGCAUUAGUCUGGGGGACUAAGGGUCGCAGGUUCAAAUCCUGUCGCUCCGACCA